This 64-nucleotide non-coding RNA is filed under the name Sus scrofa (pig). The record is from RNAcentral. Lineage: Eukaryota; Metazoa; Chordata; Mammalia; Artiodactyla; Suidae.
GGGGGGCCGGCGGCGGCGGCGGCGGCGGCGGCGGCGGCUUCCUCCGGCUACUGCUGCCCCCCCU